AGCGAACGUUAGCGGCGGGCCUAACACAUGCAAGUCGAACGCGAAAGGUCUUCGGACUGAGUAGAGUGGCGCACGGGUGAGUAACACGUAGGUAAUCUACCCUUUGGCGGGGGAUAACGUUCCGAAAGGAGCGCUAAUACCGCAUAAGACCACGGAGUCUCCGGACGCUGUGGGAAAAGGUGGCCUCUUCUUGAAAGCUACCACCGAAGGAUGAGCCUGCGUCCCAUCAGCUAGUUGGUAAGGUAAUGGCUUACCAAGGCGAAGACGGGUAGCUGGUUUGAGAGAAUGAUCAGCCACACUGGCACUGGAACACGGGCCAGACUCCUACGGGAGGCAGCAGUGAGGAAUAUUGGGCAAUGGGCGAAAGCCUGACCCAGCCACGCCGCGUGAGUGAUGAAGGCCCUCGGGUCGUAAAGCACUUUAAGCGGGGAGAAGGCCUGAUGGAUAAUACCCAUUGGGAUUGACGUUACCCGCAGAAUAAGCACCGGCAAACUUCGUGCCAGCAGCCGACGG
RNAcentral lists this ribosomal RNA (513 nucleotides) under uncultured bacterium. RNAcentral's name for it is "bacterial SSU rRNA". It matches the Rfam family "Bacterial small subunit ribosomal RNA", at positions 29 to 520 of the family's 1533-position model. The record is from RNAcentral.